UACGUAGGUCCCGAGCGUUGUCCGGAUUUAUUGGGCGUAAAGCGAGCGCAGGUGGUUUAUUAAGUCUGGUGUAAAAGGCAGUGGCUCAACCAUUGUAUGCAUUGGAAACUUGUAGACUUGAGUGCAGGAGAGGAGAGUGGAAUUCCAUGUGUAGCGGUGAAAUGCGUAGAUAUAUGGAGGAACACCGGUGGCGAAAGCGGCUCUCUGGCCUGUAACUGACACUGAGGCUCGAAAGCGUGGGGAGCAAAUAGG
Molecule: ribosomal RNA, 252 nt
Filed under: uncultured bacterium
Lineage: Bacteria
Description: partial 16S ribosomal RNA
Rfam family: Bacterial small subunit ribosomal RNA
Source: RNAcentral